CAGCAUUGAGACUUCAACACGCCAAACACCAUUGAAAUUGGAAAUGGAAGAAAUUUAGACUUUGUUUUUUAUUUUUUAAAAUUAACAUAUUUUUCUUUCAUAAUUAUAAUAUUUUCAAAUAAAACAUAGUAAUUUUUUUAAAAAUUCUAAUAAAAGUUCAAAAAUAAAAUCGCCUCUGACAAAAGAUUAGGCCUCAUUUUCAUCUCGUUGUUAUCCGUUUGUAUUGAUCAUCUCCGAUCUAUGAUCUAUCUCUAGAUCUGAACUUGAUAUCCAAAGGCUCUUUCUCACAUUCUUGAUCAGUUUGAUUGAUGAAUCGGAGACCUUUUCAAUCUAUCAGGUUAAUUCGGAUCCACAAUUAUCAACUUAUUAUUUAAGAUCCAGAUCUUAGAUUGUAUCGCUCCUUUCCUUUAGUUGUGCAUUGUUAAUUGCCUCAUUGAAAAUCAUUUGGUCCUUGAUAUCAGACAAUCAGAUGUAACCCGGCGGUUAUUGCCGGAGGAAGCCCGGUGUCCGAUGGAAGAGUUGCUGCCGGUAGAGGAGAGAGAUCCGGAAGAUUUAGACGUGUUUGAAGAAGUGGAUAUUAAAACUUGCUUUGGAGACGUCGUCUGCUGCAAUGUGAGACCUUCGCAGAGUCUGGAAGCAUUUCGUCCACCGGAGAGGCCGAUCGGAGUUAGGGUUUUCCGCCCAAUCGUAUUUGGGGGAAAACGGAAUUAACUACCGGACGUGUGGUGGAAAAAGAGGAAGAAAGAGGGUGAAAGGAAAAUUGCUAUUCUUAGUUAAUCUUUUUUCUUAUUGAUUAACUUGUAAAACAUUGAGUCCUUAUUAACUCUUAAUCACGUUUAUUUAUACAAAUAUUACGAAAUUGUUAACAGCUAAACAAGUAACUAAUUUUUUAAUUCUAAUUUAUUUGAGCUGGAUCUUGAUUCGAGUCCGAGUGCG
RNAcentral lists this long non-coding RNA (936 nucleotides) under Zostera marina. RNAcentral's name for it is "long non-coding RNA (ZMAR_LNC003987)". The record is from RNAcentral. Lineage: Eukaryota; Viridiplantae; Streptophyta; Magnoliopsida; Alismatales; Zosteraceae.